Molecule: ribosomal RNA, 417 nt
Filed under: uncultured bacterium
Lineage: Bacteria
Description: bacterial SSU rRNA
Rfam family: Bacterial small subunit ribosomal RNA
Source: RNAcentral
UAUUGGUCAAUGGGCGGGAGCCUGAACCAGCCAAGUCGCGUGAGGGAGUAAGGCCCUACGGGUCGUAAACCUCUUUUGCCGGGGAGCAGGGCGGCGGACGUGUCCGCCGUUUGAGAGUACCCGGAGAAAAAGCAUCGGCUAACUCCGUGCCAGCAGCCGCGGUAAUACGGAAGAUGCGAGCGUUAUCCGGAUUUAUUGGGUUUAAAGGGUGCGUAGGCGGGCUUUUAAGUCAGCGGUAAAAAUUCGGGGCUCAACCCCGUCCGGCCGUUGAAACUGGGGGCCUUGAGUGGGCGAGAAGAAGGCGGAAUGCGUGGUGUAGCGGUGAAAUGCAUAGAUAUCACGCAGAACCCCGAUUGCGAAGGCAGCCUUCCGGCGCCCUACUGACGCUGAGGCACGAAAGUGCGGGGAUCGAACAGG